GGGUCGUUAGCUCAAUACGGCAGAGCAGUUGACUCUUAAUCAAUUGGCUGUAGGUUCAAAUCCUACACGACCCA
RNAcentral lists this transfer RNA (74 nucleotides) under Blochmannia endosymbiont of Camponotus sp. C-003. RNAcentral's name for it is "tRNA-Lys". It matches the Rfam family "tRNA". Rfam says of the family: Transfer RNA (tRNA) molecules are approximately 80 nucleotides in length. Their secondary structure includes four short double-helical elements and three loops (D, anti-codon, and T loops). Lineage: Bacteria; Pseudomonadati; Pseudomonadota; Gammaproteobacteria; Enterobacterales; Enterobacteriaceae. The record is from RNAcentral. RNAcentral also lists the same sequence under 1 other name.